UAAAAACAAUAUAGACGAUACUAUUACAAUAUAAAACUAAAAUAUAUAUAAUAUAUACACAGAUACAUAGAUAUACUUAGAUAUUAACCUUAGACAAAUGAGUCAAGAUUUUUAACUAGGUGGUUAAAAUAUUGAAUUCAACAAAAAAAAUCUAGUUACUUAAGUUACUUACAAUCUCAAUGAAAAAUAGAAACUUAGUUGGAUAAAAGUU
Molecule: non-coding RNA, 211 nt
Organism: Cinara cedri
Lineage: Eukaryota; Metazoa; Arthropoda; Insecta; Hemiptera; Aphididae
Source: the annotation of a GenBank genome assembly